Molecule: long non-coding RNA, 1239 nt
Filed under: Calidris pygmaea (Spoon-billed sandpiper)
Lineage: Eukaryota; Metazoa; Chordata; Aves; Charadriiformes; Scolopacidae
Description: lncRNA (ENSCPGG00000005028.1)
Source: RNAcentral
CUGGUGUCACCACGUGCACCAGUGUCACCACCCACACCAGUGUCACCACGUGUACUGGUGUCACGAUGUGCACCAGUGUCACUACAUGCACCAAUGUCAUCGUGUGUACUAGUGUCACCAUGCCACCAGUGUCACCACCCACACCAGUGUCACCUUGUGCAACAGAGUCACCAAGUGCACCAGUGUCACCACGUGUACUGGUAUCACCAUCCACACCAGUGUCACCAUGCCACCAGUGUCACCAUGCGCACCAGUGUCACUGCGUGUACUAUUGUCACCACGUGCACCAGCGUCACCACCCACACCAGUGUCACCUUGUGCAACAGAGUCACCAAGUGCACCGGUGUCACCGCGUGUACUGGUGUCACCAUGUGCACCAGUGUCACCACCCACACCAGUGUCACCAUGUGCACCAGGGUCACUACGUGCACCAGUGUCACCGUGUGUACUAGUGUCACCAUCGGCACCAGUGUCACCUUGUGCAACAGAGUCACCAAGUGCACCAGUGUCACCGCAUGUACUGGUGUCACUGCGUGUAGUAGUGUCACCAUGUGCACCAGUGUCGUCAUCCACACCAGUGUCACCAUGCGCACCAGUGUCACCACCUACACCAGUGUCACCACGUGCACCAGUCACCAUGUGCACCAGGGUCACUACGUGCACCAGUGUCACCAUCCACACCAGUGUCACCAUGUGCACCAGUGUCAUCACAUGUACUAGUGUCACCACCCACACCAGUGUCACCUUGUGCAACAGAGUCACCAUGUGCACCAGUGUCACCACCCACACCAGUGUCACCCACCGCCUGCACCAGUGUCACCUUGUGCAGUGGCAUCGCCACGUGCAUCAGUGUCACCACGCUCACUACUGUCACCCAAGUGCACCAGUGUCACCACAGGGACCAGUAUCACCACGAGUACCAGUGUCACUGUGUGUACUGGUGUCACCACGUGCACCAGCAGCACCAUCCACACCAGUGUCACCUUGUGCAACCGAGUCACCACGUGCACCAGCAUCACCACGUGCACCAGCGUCACCUCGUGCACCAAUGUCACCUCGUGCACCAGUGUCACCUCGUGCACCAGUGUCACCGUACAAACCAGUGUCACCGUGUGCACUGGUGCCAGCACACACGCGUGUCACCACAUGCACUGGUGUCACCCCCCUCCUCUACUGGGACCCCCCCAGUAAUGGGACCCCCCCUCUACUGGGACCCCUUGUGCCCUGGGACCCCCAAAU